UGGGGAAUAUUGCACAAUGGAGGGAACUCUGAUGCAGCGACGCCGCGUGAGUGAUGAAGGACUUCGUUUCGUAAAACUCUGUUCUAUGGGAAGAAAAGGACUGUACCAUAGGAGAAAGCUCCGGCUAAAUACGUGCCAGCAGCCGCGGUAAUACGUAUGGAGCGAGCGUUGUCCGGAAUUAUUGGGCGUAAAGGGUGCGCAGGCGGCUUUACAAGUUUGAUGUGAAAUAUUGUGGCUCAACCACAAACGUGCAUCCAAAACUGCAAAGCUUGAGUUAAGGAGAGGUAAGUGGAAUUCCUGCUGUAGAGGUGGAAUGCGUAGAUAUCAGGAGGAAUACCGGUGGCGAAGGCGACUUACUGGACUUAAACUGACGCACAGGCACGAAAGCGUGGGGAGCAAACAGG
RNAcentral lists this ribosomal RNA (404 nucleotides) under Fusobacteriota bacterium. Its description in RNAcentral is "Fusobacteria bacterium partial 16S ribosomal RNA". It matches the Rfam family "Bacterial small subunit ribosomal RNA", at positions 355 to 776 of the family's 1533-position model. The record is from RNAcentral. Lineage: Bacteria; Fusobacteriati; Fusobacteriota.